GACGUAGGGCGCGAGCGUUGUCCGGAUUUAUUGGGCGUAAAGAGCUCGUAGGCGGCUUGUCGCGUCGAAUGUGAAAACCCACAGCUCAACUGUGGGCUUGCAUUCGAUACGGGCAGGCUCGAGUUCGGUAGGGGAGACUGGAAUUCCUGGUGUAGCGGUGAAAUGCGCAGAUAUCAGGAAGAACACCAAUGGCGAAGGCAGCUCUCUGGGACGGUACUGACACUGAGACGCGAAAGCGUGGGGAGCGAACAGG
This 253-nucleotide ribosomal RNA is filed under the name uncultured bacterium. RNAcentral's name for it is "partial 16S ribosomal RNA". It matches the Rfam family "Bacterial small subunit ribosomal RNA", at positions 524 to 776 of the family's 1533-position model. The record is from RNAcentral.